ACUCACCAGGUCAGGACACGGUAAGGAUUGACGGACUGAAGGCUCUUCUCGAUUCCGUGGAAAGUGGUGCAUGGCCGUUUUGGUUGGUGGAUCGAUCCGUCUGGUUAAUUCCGUUAACGAACGAGACCUCGGCACUCCGAAUAGCGCGGCGGACGUCGCGGCCUCCGGGCCGUCUUCCGCACGAGCUUCUUAGAGGGACCGUCCCCCGCCGGGGAAGGAGGUGCGAGGCAACGACAGGUCUGUGAUGCCCUUAGAUGUUCUGGGCCGCACGCGCAUUACACUGACGCGUCCAACGGGUGACUCCCGACCCGAAGGGGCCGGGGAAUCCGCAAGGCGCGUCGUGAUGGGGAUUGAACGUUGCAAUUGUUGUUCACGAACGAGGAAUUCCUAGUAGGCGCGGGUCAUCAACCCGCGCCGAUUACGUCCCUGCCC
Molecule: ribosomal RNA, 432 nt
Filed under: uncultured eukaryote
Lineage: Eukaryota
Description: bacterial SSU rRNA
Rfam family: Eukaryotic small subunit ribosomal RNA
Source: RNAcentral